UACGUAGGGUGCAAGCGUUGUCCGGAAUUAUUGGGCGUAAAGAGCUCGUAGGCGGUUUGUCGCGUCUGCUGUGAAAACUCGGGGCUUAACCCCGGGCCUGCAGUGGGUACGGGCAGACUAGAGUGCGGUAGGGGAGAAUGGAAUUCCCGGUGUAGCGGUGAAAUGCGCAGAUAUCAGGAGGAACACCGGUGGCGAAGGCGGUUCUCUGGGCAUGUCCUGACGCUGAGGAGCGAAAGUGUGGGGAGCGAACAGG
This 253-nucleotide ribosomal RNA is filed under the name uncultured bacterium. Its description in RNAcentral is "partial 16S ribosomal RNA". It matches the Rfam family "Bacterial small subunit ribosomal RNA", at positions 524 to 776 of the family's 1533-position model. The record is from RNAcentral.